UUUAUUGAAACUUCGGUGGAUUUAAUUUAUUUCUAGUGGCGGACGGGUGAGUAACGCGUGGGUAACCUGCCUUAUACCGGGGGAUAACAGCCAGAAAUGGCUGCUAAUACCGCAUAAGCGCACAGAACCGCAUGGUUCCGUGUGAAAAACUCCGGUGGUAUAAGAUGGACCCGCGUUGGAUUAGCUAGUUGGCAGGGCAGCGGCCUACCAAGGCGACGAUCCAUAGCCGGCCUGAGAGGGUGAACGGCCACAUUGGGACUGAGACACGGCCCAGACUCCUACGGGAGGCAGCAGUGGGGAAUAUUGCACAAUGGGGGAAACCCUGAUGCAGCGACGCCGCGUGAAGGAAGAAGUAUCUCGGUAUGUAAACUUCUAUCAGCAGGGAAGAUAAUGACGGUACCUGACUAAGAAGCCCCGGCUAACUACGUGCCAGCAGCCGCGGUAAUACGUAGGGGGCAAGCGUUAUCCGGAUUUACUGGGUGUAAAGGGAGCGUAGACGGCGCAGCAAGUCUGAUGUGAAAGGCAGGGGCUUAACCCCUGGACUGCAUUGGAAACUGCUGUGCUUGAGUGCCGGAGGGGUAAGCGGAAUUCCUAGUGUAGCGGUGAAAUGCGUAGAUAUUAGGAGGAACACCAGUGGCGAAGGCGGC
This 647-nucleotide ribosomal RNA is filed under the name uncultured Lachnospiraceae bacterium. RNAcentral describes it as "bacterial SSU rRNA". It matches the Rfam family "Bacterial small subunit ribosomal RNA", at positions 63 to 725 of the family's 1533-position model. The record is from RNAcentral. Lineage: Bacteria; Bacillati; Bacillota; Clostridia; Lachnospirales; Lachnospiraceae.